RNAcentral lists this ribosomal RNA (497 nucleotides) under uncultured bacterium. Its description in RNAcentral is "partial 16S ribosomal RNA". It matches the Rfam family "Bacterial small subunit ribosomal RNA", at positions 28 to 507 of the family's 1533-position model. The record is from RNAcentral.
GACGAACGCUGGCGGCGUGCCUAAUACAUGCAAGUUGAGCGAUGAAGAUUGGUGCUUGCACCAAUUUGAAGAGCAGCGAACGGGUGAGUAACGCGUGGGGAAUCUGCCUUUGAGCGGGGGACAACAUUUGGAAACGAAUGCUAAUACCGCAUAACAACUUUAAACAUAAGUUUUAAGUUUGAAAGAUGCAAUUGCAUCACUCAAAGAUGAUCCCGCGUUGUAUUAGCUAGUUGGUGAGGUAAUGGCUCACCAAGGCGAUGAUACAUAGCCGACCUGAGAGGGUGAUCGGCCACAUUGGGACUGAGACACGGCCCAAACUCCUACGGGAGGCAGCAGUAGGGAAUCUUCGGCAAUGGACGAAAGUCUGGCCGAGCAACGCCGCGUGAGUGAAGAAGGUUUUCGGAUCGUAAAACUCUGUUGGUAGAGAAGAACGUUGGUGAGAGUGGAAAGCUCAUCAAGUGACGGUAACUACCCAGAAAGGGACGGCUAACUACGUG